This 254-nucleotide ribosomal RNA is filed under the name uncultured bacterium. RNAcentral describes it as "partial 16S ribosomal RNA". It matches the Rfam family "Bacterial small subunit ribosomal RNA", at positions 524 to 776 of the family's 1533-position model. The record is from RNAcentral.
UACGUAGGGUGCGAGCGUUGUCCGGAAUUAUUGGGCGUAAAGAGCUCGUAGGCGGUGUGUCGCGUCGGCCGUGAAAACCUGCAGCUUAACUGUGGGCUUGCGGUCGAUACGGGCAUCACUGGAGUUCGGCAGGGGAGACUGGAAUUCCUGGUGUAGCGGUGAAAUGCGCAGAUAUCAGGAGGAACACCGGUGGCGAAGGCGGGUCUCUGGGCCGAUACUGACGCUGAGGUACGAAAGCGUGGGGAGCGAACAGG